This is a long non-coding RNA of Limulus polyphemus (Atlantic horseshoe crab), 926 nucleotides long. RefSeq lists it as uncharacterized. The record is from RefSeq and is a predicted model, not a curated record. Lineage: Eukaryota; Metazoa; Arthropoda; Merostomata; Xiphosura; Limulidae. The transcript is spliced from 2 exons.
AAAUGAAAAUCUGUUUGACCAGGGUUUUGAAAGAGUGAAUGAAGAGAUGCCUGACAUAUGUAUUGACGUUCCAGCUGCCUAUUGUAUUUUAGAAAAUUUUGUCAGCAAGUGUCAUGCUGCAAACUUCAUCAAUGAAGAGCUAAUUAAAAAGUUGCCUAGCAGAGGCCGGAAAAGAUUUGUCUCGGAUGGUGACGGUGGCUGUGUGAAGGAAGCUGUGUAGUGUAGUAAGUCAAAAUGACAAUUGGAACUGGAUGAUGUAUAUUACAAAACAAAACAAAAAUUAUUUCCUUGGUACAUAAUUAUGGGAAUUGUUUUUGGGUUUCUGAUAUUUUCCUUUAUAAUUUACAGUCACAGAUUAGUGUCAGUAAGAAUAUUAUUUAAUUUUUAGAUGUAUUUCUCAAAAUGAAAUCUUAAACUCAAUUUAAUUAAAAGAUCUAAUGAAAUAAAAUAUUUCAUAUAGUACUAUAAUAGCAAAAUAGUAGAUAAACAAAUAAAUCACAUUUUUAUUUUAUAAAUAUAUUCUUACUGGAUUUGUUGUAGCCAUUUAUAGUUCAGAGAUAUGUACAUUCUUUAAUAUUUUCAUAAUUUGUCAAGAGAAUCACUAGACUUUAUAGUAAAAAUUAUUUCCCCAGAAAGAAAAAUAGUAUUAUUUGCAUUUUUUGAAAUAUCUUGGAUACUAUCAAUGUUUUGUACAUAACUAUAUUGGUGAGUGGACCAGUUUAAUGUUUUUUUGCUUUGUUAGUAAGGUUUAUCUUUUACUAAAAAGUUUGUGCAUUUAAAAUGCACUUUUUAUUGAAACGGGGAAGGUUUCAGCAAAUAUUAGGUUAAACUACAAGAAUUUACAUGCUUUAUUUUCUCGGGGUGCUGCUUUUGUUUUUCAUCUUUAUAAUAAUUUGUUGAAAUGAAAUCAUUUUAACUCCAGAAAA